CACGUAGGGGGCGAGCGUUGUCCGGAUUUAUUGGGCGUAAAGAGCUCGUAGGCGGCUCGGUAAGUCAGGUGUGAAAACUCUAGGCUCAACCUAGAGACGCCACCUGAUACUGCUGUGGCUAGAGUCCGGUAGGGGAGCAUGGAAUUCCUGGUGUAGCGGUGAAAUGCGCAGAUAUCAGGAGGAACACCAGUGGCGAAGGCGGUGCUCUGGGCCGGAACUGACGCUGAGGAGCGAAAGCCAAGGGAGCAAACAGG
This 254-nucleotide ribosomal RNA is filed under the name uncultured bacterium. RNAcentral describes it as "partial 16S ribosomal RNA". It matches the Rfam family "Bacterial small subunit ribosomal RNA", at positions 524 to 776 of the family's 1533-position model. The record is from RNAcentral.